GAUCAGAAUGCCACGGUGAAUACGUUCCCGGGCCUUGUACACACCGCCCGUCACACCAUGGGAGUGGUUGCAAAAGAAGUAGGUAGCUUAACCUUCGGGAGGGCGCUUACCACUUUGUGAUUCAUGACUGGGGUGAAGUCGUAACAAGGUAACCGUAGGGGAACCUGCGGUUGGAUCACCUCCUUACCUUAAAGAAGC
This 198-nucleotide ribosomal RNA is filed under the name Escherichia coli. RNAcentral describes it as "partial 16S ribosomal RNA". It matches the Rfam family "Bacterial small subunit ribosomal RNA", at positions 1347 to 1533 of the family's 1533-position model. Lineage: Bacteria; Pseudomonadati; Pseudomonadota; Gammaproteobacteria; Enterobacterales; Enterobacteriaceae. The record is from RNAcentral.